This 442-nucleotide ribosomal RNA is filed under the name uncultured bacterium. RNAcentral's name for it is "partial 16S ribosomal RNA". It matches the Rfam family "Bacterial small subunit ribosomal RNA", at positions 338 to 795 of the family's 1533-position model. The record is from RNAcentral.
CCUACGGGAGGCAGCAGUGGGGAAUAUUGGGCAAUGGGCGCAAGCCUGACCCAGCAACGCCGCGUGAAGGAAGAAGGCUUUCGGGUUGUAAACUUCUUUUGUCAGGGAAGAGUAGCAGACUGUACCUGACGCAUCAGCCACGGCUAACUACGUGCCAGCAGCCGCGGUAAUACGUAGGUGGCAAGCGUUGUCCGGAUUUACUGGGUGUAAAGGGCGUGUAGCCGGGUUGACAAGUCAGAUGUGAAAUCCUGCGGCUUAACCGCAGAACUGCAUUUGAAACUGUUGAUCUUGAGUACUGGAGAGGCAGACGGAAUUCCUAGUGUAGCGGUGAAAUGCGUAGAUAUUAGGAGGAACACCAGUGGCGAAGGCGGCUUGCUGGACAGCAACUGACGGUGAGGCGCGAAAGCGUGGGGAGCAAACAGGAUUAGAUACCCUUGUAGUC